UACAGAGGUCCCAAGCGUUGUUCGGAUUCACUGGGCGUAAAGGGUGCGUAGGUGGUCGGGUAAGUCUUAUGUGAAAUCUCUGGGCUCAACCCAGAAAUGGCAUUGGAUACUAUUCGGCUAGAGGAGUGGAGGGGGGACUGGAAUACUUGGUGUAGCAGUGAAAUGCGUAGAUAUCAAGUGGAACACCAGUGGCGAAGGCGAGUCCCUGGACACUUCCUGACACUGAGGCACGAAAGCUAGGGGAGCAAACAGG
RNAcentral lists this ribosomal RNA (253 nucleotides) under uncultured bacterium. Its description in RNAcentral is "partial 16S ribosomal RNA". It matches the Rfam family "Bacterial small subunit ribosomal RNA", at positions 524 to 776 of the family's 1533-position model. The record is from RNAcentral.